This 510-nucleotide ribosomal RNA is filed under the name uncultured eukaryote. Its description in RNAcentral is "SSU rRNA". It matches the Rfam family "Eukaryotic small subunit ribosomal RNA", at positions 231 to 815 of the family's 1831-position model. The record is from RNAcentral.
AGAUAAACCAAGAAGGUGAAUCAUAAUAACUUUGCAAAUCGAAACUACGUUUCGAUACAUCAUUCAAGUUUCUGACCUAUCAUGCUCUCGAUGGUAGUGUAUUGGACUACCAUGGCAGUCACGGGUAACGGAGAAUUAGGGUUCGAUUCCGGAGAAGGAGCCUGAGAAACGGCUACUACAUCUAAGGAAGGCAGCAGGCGCGUAAAUUACCCAAUCCUAAAUCAGGGAGGUAGUGACAAGAUAUAACAACGCGAUUAAAUGUCGCGAUUGUAGUGAGGGUAUUCUAAAAAUAGCUUCGAGUACGAUUGGAGGGCAAGUCUGGUGCCAGCAGCCGCGGUAAUUCCAGCUCCAAUAGCGUAUAUUAAAGUUGCUGCAGUUAAAAAAGCUCGUAGUUGAACUUCAUGAGCAGUAGGUAGCUUACUACCUGCUCUCUACCAGUCUUUCGACUGUUACUGUGAGAAAAUUAGAGUGUUUCAAGCAGGCUAUUGCAGGAAUACAUUAGCAUGGAAA